Molecule: ribosomal RNA, 530 nt
Filed under: uncultured fungus
Lineage: Eukaryota; Fungi
Description: partial 18S ribosomal RNA
Rfam family: Group I catalytic intron (bases 182-475)
About the family: Group I catalytic introns are large self-splicing ribozymes. They catalyse their own excision from mRNA, tRNA and rRNA precursors in a wide range of organisms. The core secondary structure consists of 9 paired regions (P1-P9).
Source: RNAcentral
UUAUGUGUCGCUCGGCACCUUACGAGAAAUCAAAGUCUUUGGGUUCUGGGGGAGUAUGGUCGCAAGGCUGAAACUUAAAGGAAUUGACGGAAGGGCACCACCAGGUGUAAACACGCUCACAGCUAGCCGCAGUAGCUCUGCACCGAACAGCAGCCUGAAAAGGUGAGGUGGUUGCCCAGGAAUUUACUUCCAAAUUUAAAUGCUAGUCCAAGUGUAAUGCUUGGGCGAGACCCUCAAAUUGACGGGAAACUCCUAAAGCUUCAGACACCAAGCCUCAUUCCGAAAGGGUGGGGUGGCCAGGUUAAUAGCCUCGGGUAUGGUAAAAGAACUGAAGAUGUAACAAUGGACAAUCCGCAGCCAAGGCCCUAAGGAGUCUAUCUUGACUUACGGGACAGGUUCAGAGACUAGAUGGGGGGUCGGUCUCAUCAUGUGUAUGUGGCUUAAGGUAUAGUCCGGCUUCAAGUGAAAACUUGUAAGAUUUGGUUUACCCAAUAAAACGGGAGCCUGCGGCUUAAUUUGACUCAACACGG